GCCGGGGCAGCUUAGCCUGGUAGAGCGCGGGGCUCAUAACCCCGAGGUCCCGGGUUCAAAUCCCGGCCCCGGCACCA
This 77-nucleotide transfer RNA is filed under the name Methanopyrus kandleri. RNAcentral's name for it is "tRNA-Met". It matches the Rfam family "tRNA". From Rfam's summary of the family: Transfer RNA (tRNA) molecules are approximately 80 nucleotides in length. Their secondary structure includes four short double-helical elements and three loops (D, anti-codon, and T loops). The record is from RNAcentral. RNAcentral also lists the same sequence under 2 other names. Lineage: Archaea; Methanobacteriati; Methanobacteriota; Methanopyri; Methanopyrales; Methanopyraceae.